UUGAUGAAGGACGUGGCAAGCUGCGAUAAGCUUGGGGGAGUUGCAUGCAAGCUUUGAUCCCAAGAUUUCUGAAUGUGCCGAGAGGCAGAAUCACGCCGGGAAUUGAAACAUCUUAGUACCGGUAGGAAAAGAAAAUAAUUAUUAUUCCCUUAUUAGCAGAGAGCGAAAAGGGAACUGGGCAAACUGAAUCUUCUUUUGAAAGAGAGAUAGAGAUGUGGUGAAGAUAAGCAACUAAGUUAUUGAGGAGAAGUUUCCUGGAAAGGAACACCUUAGAGGGUGAUAGUCCCGUACUCGAAAAUAAUAUGUUGCUCUUCAAAGAGUAGGGCGUCCUGGAUUGGGCGUCUGAAUAUUGGAGGAUUAACUCCGAACCCUAAAUAUAACCAAAGUCCGAUAGUGCACUAGUACCGCGAGGGAAAGCUGAAAAGUAUUCUUAACAGAAGGUUAAAAGA
This 449-nucleotide ribosomal RNA is filed under the name Candidatus Pacearchaeota archaeon. RNAcentral's name for it is "partial 23S ribosomal RNA". It matches the Rfam family "Archaeal large subunit ribosomal RNA", at positions 46 to 537 of the family's 2987-position model. Lineage: Archaea; Nanobdellati. The record is from RNAcentral.